This 1608-nucleotide long non-coding RNA is filed under the name Medicago truncatula (barrel medic). Its description in RNAcentral is "lncRNA gene48562". The record is from RNAcentral. Lineage: Eukaryota; Viridiplantae; Streptophyta; Magnoliopsida; Fabales; Fabaceae.
AUUACAUGCCUCGUCAAGCAUGGUUAGAAGUUUGACCUUCCUUCUUUGAUGCUCAAUCCUAUCAGCAGGUGACAAAGGUGAAACAUCUUUUGAAGAAGAUGAAGAAGCACCACCACCACCAACACUACCACCACCACCACCUUGAUUUGAAUUAGGGUUUGAUAAUUGUCUACUAAAUUUAUUCUUCUUGAAUUGACCCCUUCCAACACUGCAAAACUCUUCCAACAAUUCUUGAGCAGCUUUAACAUAUUUUGAAUUCCUCAACACAUUAACAACACCUAAAGAAGAAGAAGAAGAAGAUGAACCAAAUCCAACAUGUCCUUGAUGAAUAUGAUUAAUCUGUCCUAAUCCACCUCCUUGUAAAUGAUGAUGAUGAACACUACCAAGAUUCUUGUAAGAAGUUCCUGGUCCUCCUUGAUUGUAAUAUAGAAAACCACCAGCAGCAGCAUCUCCCAUUCUUAAAUCCUCUGAAUGAUGAUGUUGUAAGGAAGACGAUAACGACAACGAAAGACCUUGUCCUUCAACAACACUUGCCAUUUCUGGUUGGUUGUUGUUGAGUUGGUGAUGACUUGAUGUUGCUCCUCCUCCUCCUCCUUCUUGAGCCCAUGUGAAUUGUCCAAAAGACCCUCCGGCUCCGGAAUUAUAACCUUGGAGAUUAGUUGUUGAAGGAUUGGGAAGUAACAUGUGGAGAGUGGAAGAAUUAGUAGAUGAAGGAUGAGGUUGAGGUGGAGGUGAUGGGGAUCUGGUGGUUUGCGGGUUCAUGAGAAAAAGCUGCAUGGCAGCUGCUGACUCAGCAUUAAUGUUUGACAUCUGAUGAUGAUUUUGAUGAUGAAAUAUGCUGCUGCUGCUGCUACUGUCACGAUUAUUAUGAUGAUUUUUUGAAUCUGUUAACAUCGUUUGUCUGUUUCCGUACCAGUCACUGGAAUUGCCUAUUCCAUGUGGUGCUUGUGGUGUUCUUGUUGAUGCCAUUUGUUGUUGUUGCUGCUGCUGCUGCUGUUCUAAUAAUUCGGCUGCCGAGGCGCCGUGAGGGAAAUUGAACAUCUCGGACAACAUUCCGGUUGUUUCGUAAACCGGUAGAGCUUCUUGUUCUUCUUCUAUGUUGCCUAUUAGUGGCGGCGGCGGUGGUUGUGGUGGUUGUUGUGAGUCGAAGUCUUGAAUUCUCACUUUGUCUCUUUGAAUUUGCUGUUGUUGCUGGUGUGGAUUGUUGUUUUCUGGAGUGUUCGAUCUCUCGAAUCCGUUCGAGAAGGCGAAGAUUCCUUGCUGGUGGUGGUUCUGGUGGUGGUGAUGAUGAUAAUCUUGGGACAUAGAAUUGGUUGAGUUUUGAGACUUUUCUAAGAUUGAUGAAUUAAAGGAACUAUGAUAAUUUUGUAUGCUUGAUGAAUUUGAGAAAGUUGAAGGAAUUGAUGAUGGUGUUGUUGCUAUUCCCAUCUUAACUUCUUACUCAUCAUCAUCAUCUUCACCAUUAUCAAUAUUCCUUGCUUUCAAAUUGAAUUGAAUUGAUCAAUAACAAAGAUCGAUCUGAAAAAUUAAACAUAAAACAUCAUAUCAUAUGUAAAUGAUGCAAGAAAAUUAGAAAACAUAUGAAAAUAAAAAUACAUGAAAUUUUGC